RNAcentral lists this ribosomal RNA (231 nucleotides) under uncultured bacterium. RNAcentral's name for it is "partial 16S ribosomal RNA". It matches the Rfam family "Bacterial small subunit ribosomal RNA", at positions 99 to 334 of the family's 1533-position model. The record is from RNAcentral.
CGGACGGGUGAGUAAUGUCUGGGAAACUGCCCGAUGGAGGGGGAUAACUACUGGAAACGGUAGCUAAUACCGCAUAACGUCGCAAGACCAAGAGGGGGACCUUCGGGCCUCUUGCCAUCGGAUGUGCCCAGAUGGGAUUAGCUAGUAGGUGGGGUAACGGCUCACCUAGGCGACGAUCCCUAGCUGGUCUGAGAGGAUGACCAGCCACACUGGAACUGAGACACGGUCCAG